Molecule: non-coding RNA, 1158 nt
Organism: Elaeis guineensis (African oil palm)
Lineage: Eukaryota; Viridiplantae; Streptophyta; Magnoliopsida; Arecales; Arecaceae
Source: RefSeq, a predicted model, not a curated record
UCGGACUGACACGGGCCAAGCGUUACGACGGCUCCGGGAAAUAUGAACAGGGAUCCCGUGGGCGCUUGGGCAGUGGAGUGAUGGAGGAAGAAGAGCACGAGGUGUACGGCCAAGACAUCCCCGACGAGGGGGAGAUGGAGGGCGACAUCGAUCCCCACGGCGCCGACGUCGACAUGACCCGAGCCGACGACGACGCCGUCAAAGAGCUCGAUGAGAUGAAGAAGCGGCUCAAGGAGAUGGAGGAGGAAGCCGCUGCCCUGCGCGAGAUGCAGGCAAAAGUCGAGAAGGAGAUGGGCGCCGUUCAAGAUCCUGCUAGUGCUGCUGCAACUCAAGCAAGCAGGGAGGAAGUUGAUUCUCGAUCAGUUUUUGUUGGCAAUGUGGAUUAUGCAUGCACCCCUGAAGAAGUGCAGCAGCAUUUCCAAUCUUGUGGAACAGUAAACAGGGUGACAAUUCUGACUGACAAGUUUGGCCAGCCCAAAGGUUUUGCUUAUGUGGAAUUUUUGGAAGUUGAGGCUGUACAAGAGGCUCUCCUCUUGAAUGAAUCUGAAUUACAUGGUCGCCAACUGAAGGUAUGUGCCAAACGAACUAAUAUCCCUGGAAUGAAGCAGUACCGCCCACGGCGGUUCAAUCCAUACUCGGGCUACCGAUUCAGGAGGCCAUAUAUGCCACCAUAUUUUUACUCUCCCUAUGGAUAUGGGAAAGUUCCCAGAUUCAGAAGGCCAAUGCGCUAUAGGCCUUACUACUAAAUGAUCAAAAGCUCUGCUAGGUAAUAUGACUGUUAUUCUAGCCUGAAGUUGGGAGUCUGUCCCGAAGUGUCCUAUGCAAGUGGCACUGGUCCGCUUUAUAUCAUUACUUCUCUGCUUUUCUUAUGAGCUUUGAUGAAUGGUUCUUAUAGGACAAGCUGAAGAUUCGUGGUCCCGAAUCUCUAACUUGAGGAGGUGUGUCAAUGCACAGCUCAACUUUCAUAUUUUGUUCAUCUAUAUUUGGCCUCUUAUCAAUGUACAGAUAUUUGGUAUCAAUGUACAGCUCAGCUUCCAUAUUUGGUUUGCCUAUAUCUGGCCUCUUGUCAAUGCACAAAUAUUUGACCUCUUGUAAUAGCUGGCCUAGACUACAAUGGCAUGUAAUUUGAAAUGCUUCUCUUAUAAUAGCUGGCUUAAA